This 429-nucleotide ribosomal RNA is filed under the name Chloroflexota bacterium. Its description in RNAcentral is "Chloroflexi bacterium partial 16S ribosomal RNA". It matches the Rfam family "Bacterial small subunit ribosomal RNA", at positions 355 to 776 of the family's 1533-position model. Lineage: Bacteria; Bacillati; Chloroflexota. The record is from RNAcentral.
UGGGGAAUAUUGCACAAUGGGCGCAAGCCUGAUGCAGCCAUGCCGCGUGUGUGAAGAAGGCCUUCGGGUUGUAAAGCACUUUCAGCGGGGAGGAAGGCGUUAAGGUUAAUAACCUUGGCGAUUGACGUUACCCGCAGAAGAAGCACCGGCUAACUCCGUGCCAGCAGCCGCGGUAAUACGGAGGGUGCAAGCGUUAAUCGGAAUUACUGGUCGUAAAGCGGACGCAGGCGGUAUGGCAAGUGGGAUGUGAAAACCCGGGGCACAACCUGGGAAAUGCAUUCGAAACUGGGAGGGUAGAGUAUUGUAGAGGGGGGUAGAAUUCCAGGUGUAGCGGUGAAAUGCGUAGAGAUCUGGAGGAAUACCGGUGGCGAAGGCGGCCCCCUGGACAAAGACUGACGCUCAGGUGCGAAAGCGUGGGGAGCAAACAGG